GAGGGUAUACCUCAGUGGUAGAGCACAUGCUUAGUAUGCAUGAGGUCCAGGAUUCAAUCUCUAGUACCUCCA
Molecule: transfer RNA, 72 nt
Filed under: Camelus bactrianus (Bactrian camel)
Lineage: Eukaryota; Metazoa; Chordata; Mammalia; Artiodactyla; Camelidae
Also listed under: 2 other names
Rfam family: tRNA
About the family: Transfer RNA (tRNA) molecules are approximately 80 nucleotides in length. Their secondary structure includes four short double-helical elements and three loops (D, anti-codon, and T loops).
Source: Rfam by way of RNAcentral